RNAcentral lists this long non-coding RNA (613 nucleotides) under Camelus dromedarius (Arabian camel). Its description in RNAcentral is "lncRNA (ENSCDRG00005007623.1)". Lineage: Eukaryota; Metazoa; Chordata; Mammalia; Artiodactyla; Camelidae. The record is from RNAcentral.
CCUCUGCCGGGCACCUGUGACUUCCCCAGGGAUGCAGGUGGGGGUGAAGUCCGAGGAUCAGCGUCCAGUGGGGGGACAGCCGAGGGCACUGGGAGUGGAGGCUUGUCGGGGCCUGAGGGUGUGUCCUCUGAGCUCCACUUCAGCCCUGGUGUUCUGCUCCCUCCUCCCCCCUUGACAGGGUCUGUUCCCCUCUACAAUCCAUCUCAGGUCCCCCAGCUCUCCACGGCUACCAGCCUGAACCGGCCAAAUCGCCUAGCUCAGCGCCGCUAUCCAGCCCAGCCGUGAUGAGAGUGACUACCCAUCCCAGGCUGGUCUCCCUGAAGCACAAUUUUCCUGUUGCUCUCCUUUCUUAAUCUCCCAGUCCCUCUGCCAUGUUGGUGCUCCCAAGAAGGUUGUGCUAGCUCAUUGCCUCCGCUGGACGUGGAGAAGGCAAGGGGACGUGGUCUCCCAGGAGACAGCUCCGUUCAGUCUCUUAAGAUUUGCUUCAGCAAGUGGUGGAAAUGACUAUCGAUGGAAAAACCGGGUGUAGCUGCAGGCGGGAGGGGAGCUGAAUGCCGUGGGGACAGUACUUAGGAUGUAGCUUCGGACCCUCGGGGAAGUCAGGGCCUAAGAA